GACGAACGCUGGCGGCGUGCCUAAUACAUGCAAGUCGAGCGAAGAGUUUCUGGUGUUUGCCCUGGGACAACUUAGCCGCGCAGGGGUGUGUAACACGUAUAGAACAUGCAUAAUAGUCUGGUAAAACCAUUGGAAACGAUCUCAAAUCCCAGAUAAUAUUAUUCAGCGCAUGGUUGUAGUUUAAAAGUUGGUUUUUCUAACUCUAAGAGAUGGCUUUGCGGUGCAUUAGCUAGUUGGUGGGGUAAAGGCCUACCAAGGCGACGAUGCAUAGCCGACCUGAGAGGGUGAUCGGCCACACUGGGACUGAGACACGGCCCAGACUCCUACGGGAGGCAGCAGUAGGGAAUCUUCCGCAAUGGGCGAAAGCCUGACGGAGCAACGCCGCGUGAGUGAAGAAGGAUUUCGGUUCGUAAAGCUCUGUUAUUAGGGAAGAACAAUUGUGUAAGAACUAAACACAGUAGUGACGGUACCUAACCAGAAAGCCACGGCUAACUACGUG
Molecule: ribosomal RNA, 499 nt
Filed under: uncultured bacterium
Lineage: Bacteria
Description: partial 16S ribosomal RNA
Rfam family: Bacterial small subunit ribosomal RNA
Source: RNAcentral